RNAcentral lists this ribosomal RNA (560 nucleotides) under Clostridium botulinum C. RNAcentral's name for it is "bacterial SSU rRNA". It matches the Rfam family "Bacterial small subunit ribosomal RNA", at positions 978 to 1533 of the family's 1533-position model. The record is from RNAcentral. Lineage: Bacteria; Bacillati; Bacillota; Clostridia; Eubacteriales; Clostridiaceae.
GACUUGACAUCUCCUGAAUUACUCUUAAUCGAGGAAGUCCCUUCGGGGACAGGAAGACAGGUGGUGCAUGGUUGUCGUCAGCUCGUGUCGUGAGAUGUUGGGUUAAGUCCCGCAACGAGCGCAACCCUUAUUGUUAGUUGCUACUAUUAAGUUAAGCACUCUAACGAGACUGCCGCGGUUAACGUGGAGGAAGGUGGGGAUGACGUCAAAUCAUCAUGCCCCUUAUGUCUAGGGCUACACACGUGCUACAAUGGCUGGUACAACGAGCAGCAAACCCGCGAGGGGGAGCAAAACUUGAAAGCCAGUCCCAGUUCGGAUUGUAGGCUGAAACUCGCCUACAUGAAGUUGGAGUUGCUAGUAAUCGCGAAUCAGCAUGUCGCGGUGAAUACGUUCCCGGGUCUUGUACACACCGCCCGUCACACCAUGAGAGCCGGUAACACCCGAAGCCCGUGAGGUAACCGUAAGGAGCCAGCGGUCGAAGGUGGGAUUGGUGAUUGGGGUGAAGUCGUAACAAGGGAGCCGUAGGAGAACCUGCGGCUGGAUCACCUCCUUUCUAGGGA